UACGGGGGGGGGUAAGCGUUGUUCGGAAUUACUGGGCGUAAAGGGCUCGUAGGCGGCCAACUAAGUCAUACGUGAAAUCCCUCAGCUUAACUGGGGAACUGCGUGUGAUACUGGAUGGCUUGGAUUUGGGAGAGGGAUGCGGAAUUCCAGGUGUAGCGGUGAAAUGCGUAGAUAUCUGGAGGAACACCGGUGGCGAAGGCGGCAUCCUGGACCAAUAUUGACGCUGAGGUGCGAAAGCGUGGGGAGCAAACAGG
This 254-nucleotide ribosomal RNA is filed under the name uncultured bacterium. Its description in RNAcentral is "partial 16S ribosomal RNA". It matches the Rfam family "Bacterial small subunit ribosomal RNA", at positions 524 to 776 of the family's 1533-position model. The record is from RNAcentral.